AUUGAACGCUGGCGGCAGGCCUAACACAUGCAAGUCGAGCGGAUGAAGGGAGCUUGCUCCUGGAUUCAGCGGCGGACGGGUGAGUAAUGCCUAGGAAUCUGCCUGGUAGUGGGGGAUAACGUCCGGAAACGGGCGCUAAUACCGCAUACGUCCUGAGGGAGAAAGUGGGGGAUCUUCGGACCUCACGCUAUCAGAUGAGCCUAGGUCGGAUUAGCUAGUUGGUGGGGUAAAGGCCUACCAAGGCGACGAUCCGUAGCUGGUCUGAGAGGAUGAUCAGUCACACUGGAACUGAGACACGGUCCAGACUCCUACGGGAGGCAGCAGUGGGGAAUAUUGGACAAUGGGCGAAAGCCUGAUCCAGCCAUGCCGCGUGUGUGAAGAAGGUCUUCGGAUUGUAAAGCACUUUAAGUUGGGAGGAAGGGCAGUAAGUUAAUACCUUGCUGUUUUGACGUUACCAGCAGAAUAAGCACCGGCUAACUUCGUG
RNAcentral lists this ribosomal RNA (484 nucleotides) under uncultured bacterium. Its description in RNAcentral is "partial 16S ribosomal RNA". It matches the Rfam family "Bacterial small subunit ribosomal RNA", at positions 30 to 507 of the family's 1533-position model. The record is from RNAcentral.